Molecule: RNA transcript, 969 nt
Organism: Coccinella septempunctata (seven-spotted ladybird)
Lineage: Eukaryota; Metazoa; Arthropoda; Insecta; Coleoptera; Coccinellidae
Exons: 5
Source: RefSeq, a predicted model, not a curated record
ACAUAAUUUGAAAUAACGUCAAUUGCGAUCUAUAUACCUCACGGUGAAACCGUCGGUUGGUCCAUUAGUCUGAAAUUUAUCUUCAGAAAUGAUCAACUUGAAAUUCGUGUUUCUAUUCUGCGCUUCCUCGGGGUUGGUUCAAGCUCAACAAAGAGAUUUACCCAAGUAUAUUGAGAAGUGUUCUUUGAAGCAUGAGUUUAAACAAUGUGUCCUCAGAAGUGCGAAUAAGGCUAUUCCAUUAAUUGUGAAAGGAGACGCGGACUACAAAAUUCCCAACAUGCAACCACUCCAUGUGCCCUUCGUCAAUUUAUUCAAUACGCCUCAGAUUGUGCUCAAUUUCACAGAUACGAAAGUUUAUGGACUCGAAAACGCUAAAAUGGUCGAUAUAGUCGUAAACAAUGAAGAUCGUUUAUCAUUUACCGCCGCUUUUGAAAACCCUAAUAUCACCCUAAGUGGAGAAUAUAGUAUUAUUGGGACUAUCUUAGCCCUACCACUCAAAGGAGACGGAUUAUAUUCUGUUUCAUUGUGUGAGUUAACCUCAAUUUGUACAUAUGUAAUAAGACUCUUUAACUUCAGCGUUUUGAGAAAAAACCAUAUGAAAUUUUUCGAUUUUUAGUGAAUGGGGUUUAUAAAUAUCCACUUCUUAUUGAAAAAGUGAAUAAUAAUGGUGUUGAUUACUAUCAAACAAAAGGAAAAGCAUUGUUUUUUGAUUUUGAAGACGUCAUUUUUGAUCUAGGCACUAUUUUCAAUGGAGAUCCUGAAGUGGGGAAACAAGUUAACAAAUUGUUCAGUGAGAACUGGAAGGUUCUUCUGGAAGAAUUCAGACCCAGUAUAUCCGAUAUUGUUACAAAUAUCAUAUCGGAGAUCUUCAACAGAAUAGCCAAAGAUGUACCGGCCAAGAAUGUCUUUUUGCCUGAUUGAUUUUCUUUUGUGAUCUUCCAAUGACUGAAUAAAAGAUUGUUUCACUUG